This 440-nucleotide ribosomal RNA is filed under the name Penaeus monodon (black tiger shrimp). RNAcentral describes it as "partial 16S ribosomal RNA". It matches the Rfam family "Bacterial large subunit ribosomal RNA", at positions 1918 to 2558 of the family's 2925-position model. The record is from RNAcentral. Lineage: Eukaryota; Metazoa; Arthropoda; Malacostraca; Decapoda; Penaeidae.
UAUUUUUAAAGGGCCGCGGUAUACUGACCGUGCGAAGGUAGCAUAAUCAUUAGUCUUUUAAUUGAAGGCUUGUAUGAAUGGUUGGACAAAAAGUAAUCUGUCUCAAUUAUAAUAGUUGAACUUAACUUUUAAGUGAAAAGGCUUAAAUACUUUAAGGGGACGAUAAGACCCUAUAAAACUUAACAAUAAUUUGAUUAAAUUAUAAAUUGUUAGUAUAACUUGAUUUUAAUUAAUGUUUGUUGCGUUGGGGCGACGGGAAUAUAAUUAGUAACUGUUCUUAAAUAUUUUAUUAACAAGUAUAAUUGAAGAAUAAUUGAUCCUUUAUUAAAGAUUAAAAGAUUAAGUUACUUUAGGGAUAACAGCGUAAUCUUCUUUGAGAGUCCUCAUCGACAAGAAGGUUUGCGACCUCGAUGUUGAAUUAAGGUAUCCUUAUAAUGCAG